ACAUAUAUUUUACAAUUUGUUUUGGCAUGUUAAUAUGUUAAUAUGUUAAUAUCAAACCAAUUAUAAUAUUUUUGCGACUGAUCUAUGAUUAUCAUUUUGUAACGGUUUUCUCUAUUGUUUUGACUGCAAUUACAACUGCAAUUACUUUCCGGUGUUUCUUCAUCACACUGUAAAACGUAUUAUUAAGCGACAUAAUAUAUAAUUUAUAAUAUACGCGUUGCUGUUCAAAAGAGUAAUCACGCCGGAAUACACGUAAAUAACAGCAACACGUUACACAUGUAUCAUAAUGGAGCGGCGUGAAAGAGCUGUCUAUCUUAAUCGUAAACUCAACCAACGUUUCAUCCUGCUGGCAGAAGUAGUGUUCGUUAUUCCAGCAAAGUUUCAUGACGCAAAAAAUCUAUCGCAAAACACAAGAAGCUGUCGCAAGCUGUUGAAAUCCGUUUGAACAGUCCAAGUGUCUCAGUAAAAACACUGCAAAUCUCGAAAUUCCUCAGGAGAGAGUAAAGAAAAUCGACCGAAACAUCUAAAUUUUACCGCUAAACGGAAAAUUUUUCAAGUAUGUGCGAGCAUAGUCGGUGAUGAGAUUUUACACAAGUAUAAUGUGUAUACUGAAUAUGGGAGCAAUCCUACUCACUAUAAUACUCAUUGCGGUAUUGUCUGCAACGAUUGCAAAUAAUAUCAGCAAACAAUGCCAAGUGCACAAUGAAAGGAGAAUUACGUGUGGAUGUAUUGGAAACGAGGAAUUUGUCCUACCAGAAGAAUACAAUUAUGCAAAUAUCACCAGCGUGUCGAUCUCGGGAUGCGUUUCAGCAAACCUUCAUUAUUCCAGUUUACCG
Pseudomyrmex gracilis is the source of this 836-nucleotide long non-coding RNA. RefSeq lists it as uncharacterized. The record is from RefSeq and is a predicted model, not a curated record. NCBI's taxonomy places the organism in Eukaryota, Metazoa, Arthropoda, Insecta, Hymenoptera, Formicidae. The transcript is spliced from 3 exons.